RNAcentral lists this ribosomal RNA (269 nucleotides) under uncultured prokaryote. RNAcentral describes it as "partial 16S ribosomal RNA". It matches the Rfam family "Bacterial small subunit ribosomal RNA", at positions 524 to 792 of the family's 1533-position model. The record is from RNAcentral.
UACGGAGGAUCCGAGCGUUAUCCGGAUUUAUUGGGUUUAAAGGGUGCGCAGGCGGGAGAUUAAGUCGGCGGUGAAAUUUUGCAGCUCAACUGUAAAAGUGCCUUCGAAACUGGUUUCCUCGAGUGUAGAUGAAGUAGGCGGAAUUUGUGGUGUAGCGGUGAAAUGCAUAGAUAUCACGAGGAACUCCGAUUGCGCAGGCAGCUUACUAAACUACUACUGACGCUCAGGCACGAAGGCGUGGGGAUCAAACAGGAUUAGAUACCCUGGUA